CCUACGGGAGGCAGCAGUGAGGAAUAUUGGUCAAUGGACGGGAGUCUGAACCAGCCAAGUAGCGUGAAGGAUGACUGCCCUAUGGGUUGUAAACUUCUUUUAUAUGGGAAUAAAAUGUUCCACGUGUGGGAGUUUGUAUGUACCAUAUGAAUAAGGAUCGGCUAACUCCGUGCCAGCAGCCGCGGUAAUACGGAGGAUCCGAGCGUUAUCCGGAUUUAUUGGGUUUAAAGGGAGCGUAGGUGGAUUGUUAAGUCAGUUGUGAAAGUUUGCGGCUCAACCGUAAAAUUGCAGUUGAAACUGGCAGUCUUGAGUACAGGAGAGGUGGGCGGAAUGCGUGGUGUAGCGGUGAAAUGCUUAGAUAUCACGAAGAACUCCGAUUGCGAAGGCAGCUCACUGGACGGCAACUGACACUGAGGCUCGAAAGUGUGGGUAUCAAACAGGAUUAGAUACCCCUGUAGUC
This 460-nucleotide ribosomal RNA is filed under the name uncultured bacterium. RNAcentral describes it as "partial 16S ribosomal RNA". It matches the Rfam family "Bacterial small subunit ribosomal RNA", at positions 338 to 795 of the family's 1533-position model. The record is from RNAcentral.